RNAcentral lists this ribosomal RNA (791 nucleotides) under uncultured bacterium. RNAcentral describes it as "bacterial SSU rRNA". It matches the Rfam family "Bacterial small subunit ribosomal RNA", at positions 722 to 1506 of the family's 1533-position model. The record is from RNAcentral.
CAGAUCACUGGCCGACAACUGACGCUGAGGCGCGAAAGCGUGGGUAGCAAACAGAAUUAGAUACUCUGGUAGUCCACGCCCUAAACGAUGGAUACUAGACGUCAGGGGUAUCGACCCCCCUGGUGUCGCAGCUAACGCAUUAAGUAUCCCGCCUGGGGACUACGGCCGCAAGGUUGAAACUCAAAUGAAUUGACGGGACCCCGCACAAGCGGUGGAGCAUGUGGAUUAAUUCGAUACUAACCGAAGAACCUUACCCAGUCUUGACAUCGAUGGAAAGGUGCAGAAAUGUGCCCCUCUUCCCACAAGGAAGACCUGAAGACAGAUGUUGCAUGGCUGUCGUCAGCUCGUGCCGUGAGGUGUUUGGUUAAGUCCAGCAACGAGCGCAACCCUCAUUUUGUGUUACCAGCGAGUAAUGUCGGGGACUCACAAGAAACUGCCCGUGUAAGCGGGAGGAAGGUGAGGAUGACGUCAAGUCAGCAUGGCUCUUACGACUGGGGCUUCACACAUGCUACAAUGGGCGCAACAAAGGGCAGCAAUACCGCGAGGUGGAGCGAAUCCCAAAAAUACGCCCCCAGUUCAGAUUGCAGUCUGCAACUCGACUGCAUGAAGGCGGAAUCGCUAGUAACCGCAGGUCAGCUAUACUGCGGUGAAUACGUUCCCGGGGUUUGUACACACUGCCCGUCAAGUCACCUGAAUUGUCUGCACCCGAAGUCCGUGGCCUAACCGCAAGGAAGGAGCGGCCGAAGGUGUGGGGAGUAAGGGGGACUAAGUCGUAACAAGGUAACCAAGGG